This 494-nucleotide ribosomal RNA is filed under the name uncultured bacterium. RNAcentral describes it as "partial 16S ribosomal RNA". It matches the Rfam family "Bacterial small subunit ribosomal RNA", at positions 28 to 507 of the family's 1533-position model. The record is from RNAcentral.
GACGAACGCUGGCGGCGCGCUUAACACAUGCAAGUCGAACGGAAAGGCCUGCUUUCCCUUGUGGAUUGCGGGUACUCGAGUGGCGAACGGGUGAGUAACACGUGAGUGAUCUGCCCCCAACUUGGGUAUAAGCCUGGGAAACUGGGUCUAAUUCCCGAUAGGACUGCAGGGUGGUGCCUGUGGUGGAAAACAAUUUUCUAGUGGUUGGGGAUGAGCUCGCGGCCUAUCAGCUUGUUGGUGGGGUAAUGGCCUACCAAGGCGGCGACGGGUAGCCGGCCUGAGAGGGUGGACGGCCACAUUGGGACUGAGAUACGGCCCAGACUCCUACGGGAGGCAGCAGUGGGGAAUAUUGCACAAUGGGCGGAAGCCUGAUGCAGCGACGCCGCGUGGGGGAUGACGGCCUUCGGGUUGUAAACUCCUUUCGACCGCGAGGAAGCCACCUGGUUGGAAGGGUGGUGACGGUAGUGGUAGAAGAAGCACCGGCUAACUACGUG